Molecule: ribosomal RNA, 736 nt
Filed under: Pseudoalteromonas distincta
Lineage: Bacteria; Pseudomonadati; Pseudomonadota; Gammaproteobacteria; Alteromonadales; Pseudoalteromonadaceae
Description: bacterial SSU rRNA
Rfam family: Bacterial small subunit ribosomal RNA
Source: RNAcentral
CUACUUUGCUGACGAGCGGCGGACGGGUGAGUAAUGCUUGGGAACAUGCCUUGAGGUGGGGGACAACAGUUGGAAACGACUGCUAAUACCGCAUAAUGUCUACGGACCAAAGGGGGCUUCGGCUCUCGCCUUUAGAUUGGCCCAAGUGGGAUUAGCUAGUUGGUGAGGUAAUGGCUCACCAAGGCGACGAUCCCUAGCUGGUUUGAGAGGAUGAUCAGCCACACUGGGACUGAGACACGGCCCAGACUCCUACGGGAGGCAGCAGUGGGGAAUAUUGCACAAUGGGCGCAAGCCUGAUGCAGCCAUGCCGCGUGUGUGAAGAAGGCCUUCGGGUUGUAAAGCACUUUCAGUCAGGAGGAAAGGUUAGUAGUUAAUACCUGCUAGCUGUGACGUUACUGACAGAAGAAGCACCGGCUAACUCCGUGCCAGCAGCCGCGGUAAUACGGAGGGUGCGAGCGUUAAUCGGAAUUACUGGGCGUAAAGCGUACGCAGGCGGUUUGUUAAGCGAGAUGUGAAAGCCCCGGGCUCAACCUGGGAACUGCAUUUCGAACUGGCAAACUAGAGUGUGAUAGAGGGUGGUAGAAUUUCAGGUGUAGCGGUGAAAUGCGUAGAGAUCUGAAGGAAUACCGAUGGCGAAGGCAGCCACCUGGGUCAACACUGACGCUCAUGUACGAAAGCGUGGGGAGCAAACGGGAUUAGAUACCCCGGUAGUCCACGCCGUAAACGAUGUCUACUA